GAGUGCGUUGAUGCAAGACUAAACGGUGAAUAUCCUCCCAAAGCUGUUGCCAAGCUGGCUGCAGUAGCUGCGCUAUGUGUGCAAUACGAGGCAGACUUCAGGCCAAACAUGAGCAUAGUGGUGAAGGCUCUUCAGCCUCUGCUCAAUCCUCCUCGCUCUGCUCCUCAAACUCCUAACAGGAACAACCCUUAUUGAUUGAUAUCCUCACAAACACGCUUCACCAUCCACUAUUUCAUUUGUUUUUGUUUGAAUCCAAUUUGUGUAAAUUCGUGCAAAAUAGGCUUUUUUUUUAUUUAUCUCUAAUAAAAAUAACCCUAAAUCCAAUGUUGCUCUAUUUUCUCCUUUUAUGGUAUUUCAUGCGUGGGAUGUAAGUUUCUACUAAUUUUACAAUAUACACCAAUAUUGUGUUUGUGCCAUUUUGUAAAACUGAGAAAGAUGUAUUAUCUUGCUAUUUUAAUGUAGAAUAAUGUCUUGCAAGUCA
This is a long non-coding RNA of Brassica oleracea var. oleracea, 481 nucleotides long. RefSeq lists it as uncharacterized. The record is from RefSeq and is a predicted model, not a curated record. The transcript has 2 exons. NCBI's taxonomy places the organism in Eukaryota, Viridiplantae, Streptophyta, Magnoliopsida, Brassicales, Brassicaceae.